UACAGAGGUGGCGAGCGUUUUUCGGAAUUACUGGGCGUAAAGGGCGCGUAGGCGGCCUUCUAAGUCGGACGUGAAAGCCCCAGGCUUAACCUGGGAACUGCGUCCGAUACUGGGAGGCUUGGAUUCGGGAGAGGGAUGUGGAAUUCCAGGUGUAGCGGUGAAAUGCGUAGAUAUCUGGAGGAACACCGGUGGCGAAGGCGGCAUCCUGGACCGACAUCGACGCUGAGGCGCGAAAGCUAGGGGGGCAAACGGG
RNAcentral lists this ribosomal RNA (253 nucleotides) under uncultured bacterium. Its description in RNAcentral is "partial 16S ribosomal RNA". It matches the Rfam family "Bacterial small subunit ribosomal RNA", at positions 524 to 776 of the family's 1533-position model. The record is from RNAcentral.